RNAcentral lists this ribosomal RNA (427 nucleotides) under uncultured beta proteobacterium. RNAcentral's name for it is "bacterial SSU rRNA". It matches the Rfam family "Bacterial small subunit ribosomal RNA", at positions 355 to 774 of the family's 1533-position model. Lineage: Bacteria; Pseudomonadati; Pseudomonadota; Betaproteobacteria. The record is from RNAcentral.
UGGGGAAUUUUGGACAAUGGGCGAAAGCCUGAUCCAGCCAUGCCGCGUGAGUGAAGAAGGCCUUCGGGUUGUAAAGCUCUUUUAGUCGGAAAGAAAGAGUUGCAAUGAAUAAUUGUGAUUUAUGACGGUACCGACAGAAAAAGCACCGGCUAACUACGUGCCAGCAGCCGCGGUAAUACGUAGGGUGCGAGCGUUAAUCGGAAUUACUGGGCGUAAAGGGUGCGCGGGCGGUCUUGCAAGUCAGAUGUGAAAGCCCCGGGCUUAACCUGGGAAUUGCGUUUGAAACUACAAGACUAGAGUGCAGCAGAGGGGAGUGGAAUUCCAUGUGUAGCAGUGAAAUGCGUAGAGAUGUGGAAGAACACCGAUGGCGAAGGCAGCUCCCUGGGUUGACACCGACGCUCAUGCACGAAAGCGUGGGGAGCAAACA